ACACCGUAUAAAUUCUGAUAAAAUUCUAUACUAGAUUCAAUUUUAUACAAAUAUGAAUGUCAAAAUUUAACAUUAAUUUGACAUAAAUUCGUCUCCGAAUUCGCAUUAAAAUAAAUAAAAGAAUGGAUACGAAUAUGAUUUCUUACAGAAUCCGACCAUAUUCAACUGUUUUCAUUCAUAAAAGAUAAGAAGGAUGUUAAUAUAUAUUGUAAAAUAAUAAAUAAUUUUUUAUUAUAUUUUUUGUUUAUUUUACUAGAAGUUUAAUAUUAAAAUUGUAUUUAUAUUUAUUAAAAAUAUUAAAAUUUAUUGAAUGAAAUAUAGGUAUAAAAAAUUUGGACACAAAUAUGAACCUUUAAUUAUAUAUACAUAUUAAUAUAUAUUAUUAUUCGAAUAAUAUUUAAAUACAAAUACGUUUUAAAUAGAAAUAGUAAUAAAAAUUUAACAUGCGACACAUAUCCGUAUCACAAUUCGCAUAUGAGGAAAAGUAUGGAUGUGUAUAUAAUUUU
Molecule: long non-coding RNA, 506 nt
Filed under: Ananas comosus (pineapple)
Lineage: Eukaryota; Viridiplantae; Streptophyta; Magnoliopsida; Poales; Bromeliaceae
Description: long non-coding RNA (ACOM_LNC011528)
Source: RNAcentral